Molecule: ribosomal RNA, 544 nt
Filed under: uncultured Glomus
Lineage: Eukaryota; Fungi; Glomeromycota; Glomeromycetes; Glomerales; Glomeraceae
Description: SSU rRNA
Rfam family: Eukaryotic small subunit ribosomal RNA
Source: RNAcentral
UUGGAGGGCAAGUCUGGUGCCAGCAGCCGCGGUAAUUCCAGCUCCAAUAGCGUAUAUUAAAGUUGUUGCAGUUAAAAAGCUCGUAGUUGAAUUUCGGGAUCAAUAUGCCGGUCAUGCCUUGGUAUGCACUGGUAUCUUUGAUUUCUCCCUUCUGACGAACUUUGAUGUCAUUAAUUUGGUGUCAUAGGGAAUCAGGACUGUUACUUUGAAAAAAUUAGAGUGUUUAAAGCAAGCUCACGCUUGAAUACAUUAGCAUGGAAUAAUGAAAUAGGACGUUUGAUUCUAUUUUGUUGGUUUCUAGGAUCGACGUAAUGAUUAAUAGGGAUAGUUGGGGGCAUUAGUAUUCAAUUGUCAGAGGUGAAAUUCUUGGAUUUAUUGAAGACUAACUACUGCGAAAGCAUUCACCAAGGAUGUCUUCUUUAAUCAAGAACGAAAGUUGGGGGAUCGAAGACGACCAGAUACCGUCGUAGUCUCAACCAUAAACUAUGCCGACUAGGGAUCGGACGAUGUUAUUUUUUGACUCGUUCGGCACCUUACGGGAAAC